GACGAACGCUGGCGGCGUGCUUAACACAUGCAAGUCGAACGGAAAGGCACUGCUUUUGUGGGGUGCUCGAGUGGCGAACGGGUGCGUAACACGUGAGUAACCUGCCCUUGACUUUGGGAUAACUUCAGGAAACUGGGGCUAAUACCGGAUAGGAGCUCCUGCUGCAUGGUGGGGGUUGGAAAGUUUCGGCGGUCGGGGAUGGACUCGCGGCUUAUCAGCUUGUUGGUGGGGUAGUGGCUUACCAAGGCUUUGACGGGUAGCCGGCCUGAGAGGGUGACCGGCCACAUUGGGACUAAGGUACGGCCCAGACUCCUACGGGAGGCAGCAGGGGGGAAUAUUGCACAAUGGGCGGAAGCCUGAUGCAGCAACGCCGCGUGCGGAAUGACGGCCUUCGGGUUGUAAACCGCUUUCGCCUGUGACGAAGCGUGAGUGACGGUAAUGGGUAAAGAAGCACCGGCUAACUACGUG
This 468-nucleotide ribosomal RNA is filed under the name uncultured bacterium. RNAcentral describes it as "partial 16S ribosomal RNA". It matches the Rfam family "Bacterial small subunit ribosomal RNA", at positions 28 to 507 of the family's 1533-position model. The record is from RNAcentral.